AGGACGAACGCUGGCGGCGUGCUUAACACAUGCAAGUCGAACGGAAAGGCCCGCUUGCGGGUACUCGAGUGGCGAACGGGUGAGUAACACGUGGGCAACCUGCCCUCAGCUCUGGGAUAACUCCGGGAAACCGGUGCUAAUACUGGAUAUCAACUUUGCCUCGCAUGGGGUGUUGUUGAAAGUUUUUCGGCUGGGGAUGGGCCCGCGGCCUAUCAGCUUGUUGGUGGGGUGAUGGCCUACCAAGGCGACGACGGGUAGCCGGCCUGAGAGGGCGACCGGCCACACUGGGACUGAGACACGGCCCAGACUCCUACGGGAGGCAGCAGUGGGGAAUAUUGCGCAAUGGGCGGAAGCCUGACGCAGCGACGCCGCGUGAGGGAUGACGGCCUUCGGGUUGUAAACCGUCUUUCAGCUCUGACGAAGCGAGAGUGACGGUAGGAGCAGAAGAAGCACCGGCAACUACGUGCCAGCAGCCGCGGUAA
RNAcentral lists this ribosomal RNA (482 nucleotides) under uncultured bacterium. RNAcentral describes it as "SSU rRNA". It matches the Rfam family "Bacterial small subunit ribosomal RNA", at positions 26 to 523 of the family's 1533-position model. The record is from RNAcentral.